RNAcentral lists this ribosomal RNA (496 nucleotides) under uncultured bacterium. Its description in RNAcentral is "partial 16S ribosomal RNA". It matches the Rfam family "Bacterial small subunit ribosomal RNA", at positions 28 to 507 of the family's 1533-position model. The record is from RNAcentral.
GAUGAACGCUGGCGGCGUGCCUAAUACAUGCAAGUCGAGCGAACAGACGAGGAGCUUGCUCCUCUGACGUUAGCGGCGGACGGGUGAGUAACACGUGGAUAACCUACCUAUAAGACUGGGAUAACUUCGGGAAACCGGAGCUAAUACCGGAUAUAUAUUGAACCGCAUGGUUCAAUGGUGAAAGACGGUUUUGCUGUCACUUAUAGAUGGAUCCGCGCCGCAUUAGCUAGUUGGUAAGGUAACGGCUUACCAAGGCAACGAUGCGUAGCCGACCUGAGAGGGUGAUCGGCCACACUGGAACUGAGACACGGUCCAGACUCCUACGGGAGGCAGCAGUAGGGAAUCUUCCGCAAUGGGCGAAAGCCUGACGGAGCAACGCCGCGUGAGUGAUGAAGGUCUUCGGAUCGUAAAACUCUGUUAUUAGGGAAGAACAAAUGUGUAAGUAACUAUGCACGUCUUGACGGUACCUAAUCAGAAAGCCACGGCUAACUACGUG